This 429-nucleotide ribosomal RNA is filed under the name Chloroflexota bacterium. RNAcentral's name for it is "Chloroflexi bacterium partial 16S ribosomal RNA". It matches the Rfam family "Bacterial small subunit ribosomal RNA", at positions 355 to 776 of the family's 1533-position model. Lineage: Bacteria; Bacillati; Chloroflexota. The record is from RNAcentral.
UGGGGAAUAUUGCACAAUGGGCGCAAGCCUGAUGCAGCCAUGCCGCGUGUAUGAAGAAGGCCUUCUGGUUGUAAAGUACUUUCAGCGGGGAGGAAGGGAGUAAAGUUAAUACCUUUGCUCAUUGACGUUACCCGCAGAAGAAGCACCGGCUAACUCCGUGCCAGCAGCCGCGGUAAUACGGAGGGUGCAAGCGUUAAUCGGAAUUACUGGGCGUAAAGCGCACGCAGGCGGUUUGUUAAGUCAGAUGUGAAAUCCCCGGGCUCAACCUGGGAACUGCAUCUGAUACUGGCAAGCUAGAGUGUCGUAGAGAGGGGUAGAAUGCCAGGUGGAGCGGUGAAAUGCGUAGGGAUCUGGAGGAAUACCGGUGGCGGAGGCGGCCCCCUGGACGAAGACUGACGCUCAGGUGCGAAAGCGUGGGGAGCAAACAGG